This 364-nucleotide unclassified non-coding RNA is filed under the name fungal sp. RNAcentral describes it as "partial internal transcribed spacer region". The stretch from base 1 to 44 matches the Rfam family "Eukaryotic small subunit ribosomal RNA", at positions 1788 to 1831 of the family's 1831-position model. Lineage: Eukaryota; Fungi. The record is from RNAcentral.
GUCGUAACAAGGUUUCCGUAGGUGAACCUGCGGAAGGAUCAUUACCACACCUAAAAAACUUUCCACGUGAACUGUCGUUAUUUGUUGUGUGUCUGCGCGUUGCUGGCGUGCGUUUGCUUACGCUUCGGUGUUUGCGAGUGCGUGCUGGCGGUGCGCGGACUGAACGAAGGUCGUGUUGCUGUGUGCCUGCUGCACUGCUGACUUUGCAUUGAUUUGCAUGGUCUUGGCGGAGCGGCGGGUGCUGUGCGUGCGCGGCUGACUUACUUUUUCAAACCCCAUACCUAACUUACUGAUUAUACUGUGAGAACGAAAGUUCUUGCUUUUAACUAGAUAACAACUUUCAACAACGGAUCUCUUGGCUCUC